This 253-nucleotide ribosomal RNA is filed under the name uncultured bacterium. RNAcentral's name for it is "partial 16S ribosomal RNA". It matches the Rfam family "Bacterial small subunit ribosomal RNA", at positions 524 to 776 of the family's 1533-position model. The record is from RNAcentral.
GACGAACCGUGCAAACGUUAUUCGGAAUCACUGGGCUUAAAGGGCGCGUAGGCGGGUUCUCAAGUCAGGGGUGAAAUCCUCCAGCUUAACUGGAGAAGUGCCUUUGAUACUGGGAAUCUCGAGGGAGGUAGGGGCGUGCGGAACUUCGGGUGGAGCGGUGAAAUGCGUAGAUAUCCGAAGGAACACCGGUGGCGAAAGCGGCGCGCUGGACCUCUUCUGACGCUGAGGCGCGAAAGCCAGGGGAGCAAACGGG